RNAcentral lists this non-coding RNA (27 nucleotides) under Homo sapiens (human). The record is from RNAcentral. Lineage: Eukaryota; Metazoa; Chordata; Mammalia; Primates; Hominidae.
AGGAGAAAUGGAAAUGGUUUUGGGUGA